AGCGCAGGUGGUUUCUUAAGUCUGAUGUAAAAGGCAGUGGCUCAACCAUUGUGUGCAUUGGAAACUGGGAGACUUGAGUGCAGGAGAGGAGAGUGGAAUUCCAUGUGUAGCGGUGAAAUGCGUAGAUAUAUGGAGGAACACCGGAGGCGAAAGCGGCUCUCUGGCCUGUAACUGACACUGAGGCUCGAAAGCGUGGGGAGCAAACA
This 206-nucleotide ribosomal RNA is filed under the name uncultured bacterium. RNAcentral's name for it is "partial 16S ribosomal RNA". It matches the Rfam family "Bacterial small subunit ribosomal RNA", at positions 568 to 774 of the family's 1533-position model. The record is from RNAcentral.